Molecule: ribosomal RNA, 450 nt
Filed under: uncultured bacterium
Lineage: Bacteria
Description: bacterial SSU rRNA
Rfam family: Bacterial small subunit ribosomal RNA
Source: RNAcentral
GGGGGAAUUUUGGACAAUGGGGGCAACCCUGAUCCAGCCAUGCCGCGUGAGUGAAGAAGGCCUUCGGGUUGUAAAGCUCUUUCGGCCGGGAAGAAAUCGCUCAAGCUAAUACCUUGGGUGGAUGACGGUACCGGAAGAAGAAGCACCGGCUAACUACGUGCCAGCAGCCGCGGUAAUACGUAGGGUGCGAGCGUUAAAUCGGAAUUACUGGGCGUAAAGCGUGCGCAGGCGGUUUCGUAAGACAGAUGUGAAAUCCCCGGGCUUAACCCUGGGAACUGCGUUUGUGACUGCGAGACUUGAGUGCGGCAGAGGGGGGUGGGAUUCCGACGUGUAGCAGUGAAAUGCGUAGAGAUGUGGAGGAACACCGAUGGCGAAGGCAGCCCCCCUGGGUCGACACUGACGCUCAUGCACGAAAGCGUGGGGAGCAAACAGGAUUAGAGACCCGUGUAG